Molecule: ribosomal RNA, 324 nt
Filed under: uncultured eukaryote
Lineage: Eukaryota
Description: partial 18S ribosomal RNA
Rfam family: Eukaryotic small subunit ribosomal RNA
Source: RNAcentral
CCCUUAGAUGUUCUGGGCUGCACGCGCGCUACACUGAAGCUAUCAACACGUUUUCCCUCCCUGAGAAGGGCCGGUAACCUUUUGAAUCAGCUUCGUGGUAGGGAUCGGGGCUUGCAAUUGUUCCCCGUGAACCAGGAAUUCCUAGUAGACGCGAGUCAUAAGCUCGCAUCGAUUAAGUCCCUGCCCUUUGUACACACCGCCCGUCGCUACUACCGAUUGAACGUUUUAGUGAGGCAUUUGGACCGACGCAUCUCAGUUUAACCGCUGGUUUGUGUUGGAAAGACUUCCAAACUUGAGCGUUUAGAGGAAGUAAAAGUCGUAACA